CAGGUUGUGAUGAUUUGACAGAGUUUAACGCCCCCACUAAAACAAUCUUCCACCAACACAAUCUUCUGAGGCUUGUUGAACAUAACUAUUUCCAGAAUGCUUGCGUCAUGUAUCAGACUGUCCAUAAACGAAACCAUAAACUCUGUCAACUCAUCCCAAUCUGUACUCCCAGCCACACCCACACCACCAGGAAUAGCAAUCUAAUCAUUGGGAGAAAACGGAAACUAAAAUCUACAAGCUUUAGCAUUGUGUGCAGAGGGCCACAGAUUUGGAAUGAGCUU
Syngnathus acus (greater pipefish) is the source of this 281-nucleotide long non-coding RNA. RefSeq lists it as uncharacterized. The record is from RefSeq and is a predicted model, not a curated record. NCBI's taxonomy places the organism in Eukaryota, Metazoa, Chordata, Actinopteri, Syngnathiformes, Syngnathidae. The transcript is spliced from 4 exons.